CGUAGCGAAAGUUACGCUAAUACCGCAUACGAUCUACGGAUGAAAGCGGGGGAUCGCAAGAGCCUCGCGCGAUUGGAGCGGCCGAUAUCAGAUUAGGUAGUUGGUGGGGUAAAGGCUCACCAAGCCAACGAUCUGUAGCUGGUCUGAGAGGACGACCAGCCACACUGGAACUGAGACACGGUCCAGACUCCUACGGGAGGCAGCAGUGGGGAAUUUUGGACAAUGGACGCAAGUCUGAUCCAGCCAUUCCGCGUGCAGGAUGAAGGCCCUCGGGUUGUAAACUGCUUUUGUACGGAACGAAAAGGUCUCUAUUAAUACUAGGGGCUCAUGACGGUACCGUAAGAAUAAGCACCGGCUAACUACGUGCCAGCAGCCGCGGUAAUACGUAGGGUGCAAGCGUUAAUCGGAAUUACUGGGCGUAAAGCGUGCGCAGGCGGUUAUGUAAGACAGAGGUGAAAUCCCUGGGCUCAACCUGGGAACUGCCUUUGUGACUGCAUAGCUAGAGUACGGUAGAGGGGGAUGGAAUUCCGCGUGUAGCAGUGAAAUGCGUAGAUAUGCGGAGGAACACCGAUGGCGAAGGCAAUCCCCUGGACCUGCACUGACGCUCAUGCACGAAAGCGUGGGGAGCAAACAGGAUUAGAUACCCUGGUAGUCCACGCCCUAAACGAUGUCAACUGGUUGUUGGGUCUUCACUGACUCAGUAACGAAG
This 709-nucleotide ribosomal RNA is filed under the name uncultured Limnohabitans sp. RNAcentral's name for it is "bacterial SSU rRNA". It matches the Rfam family "Bacterial small subunit ribosomal RNA", at positions 147 to 851 of the family's 1533-position model. Lineage: Bacteria; Pseudomonadati; Pseudomonadota; Betaproteobacteria; Burkholderiales; Comamonadaceae. The record is from RNAcentral.